AUCAACUUUCGAUGGUAGGAUAGAGGCCUACCAUGGUGGUAACGGGUAACGGGGUGUUAGGGCACGACACCGGAGAGGGAGCCUGAGAAACGGCUACCACAUCCAAGGAUGGCAGCAGGCGCGCAAAUUACCCAAUCCCGACACGGGGAGGUAGUGACAAUAAAUAACAAUACGGGGUCCUUUCGGGUUUCGUAAUUGGAAUGAGUACAAUUUAAAUCUCUUAACGAGGAACAAUUGGAGGGCAAGUCUGGUGCCAGCAGCCGCGGUAAUUCCAGCUCCAAUAGCGUAUAUUAAAGUUGUUGCAGUUAAAAAGCUCGUAGUUGAAUUUCGGGAUUAGUGCGCCGGUCGUGCCUUCGGUAUGUACUGGUGUUACUGGUUCCUACCUUCUGACGAACCGUCAUGUCAUUAAUUUGGUGUGGCGGGAAACCAGGACUGUUACUUUGAAAAAAUUAGAGUGUUUAAAGCAGGCUCGCGCUUGAAUACAUUAGCAUGGAAUAAUGAAAUAGGACGUUCGAUCCUAUUUUGUUGGUUUCUAGGAUUGACGUAAUGAUUAAUAGGGAUAGUUGGGGGCAUUAGUAUUCAAUUGUCAGAGGUGAAAUUCUUGGAUUUAUUGAAGACUAACUACUGCGAAAGCAUUUGCCAAGGAUGUUUUCAUUAAUCAAGAACGAAAGUUAGGGGAUCGAAGACGAUCAGAUACCGUCGUAGUCUUAACCAUAAACUAUGCCGACUGGGGAUCGGAUGAUGUUAUUUUUAAUGACUCAUUCGGCGCCUUACGGGAAACCAAAGUGUUUGGGUUC
This 797-nucleotide ribosomal RNA is filed under the name uncultured Glomus. Its description in RNAcentral is "SSU rRNA". It matches the Rfam family "Eukaryotic small subunit ribosomal RNA", at positions 314 to 1114 of the family's 1831-position model. The record is from RNAcentral. Lineage: Eukaryota; Fungi; Glomeromycota; Glomeromycetes; Glomerales; Glomeraceae.